AGUCUGUUGUCUCCAGGAGCAGACAUAAUUUAGUUAUGGGUCUUUCAAUGGUACUUGUCUUGGUUUUAACCAGGACACUCCUAACAAGUCAUGUUGAUCCAGGAAGGGUCUUAACUACACGUCCCAGGAGCCAAGUGUUCCUCGGUGCGUUCUCAUCAACGAUGACGACCAGGUCUCCGGGGGUGAAGUUUCUUUUGAUUGUAUUCCAGUUGGGCCGUUCUUGCAUCAAAGGAAGGUAUUCCUGGUCCAGCGCUUCCAAAACAGGUCAGCAAGGUAUUGCACCUGCCUCCUGGCUGAAGAGUUUGCAGCUGAUAGCCAGUAACGUUGAAGGAGUUUGGAGAGCAUGUGACCUGAGUGACCAACUUGAUGAUGUAUGUGGCUUAGUAUCAACUUGGAAAUACGAGAAUGUUUAAGUAGAAUCAUUGGAUGUUUGAAGUCAGUUGGCAUAGCCAUCUUUGUAGUUCUUCCUCCAACUCUCAGAAUCCCAGCAUCAAUGAUAGAGUCCAGCUUGUAUAGGGAGCUUCCUCUAUUGCACUGUUUGGCUUUUUCCAGCAAGGCAAAAUCCUCUUUGAAAUGCUGUCUCUGCUCGUGGCAAAUAAUGGCCUUUUCAGCAUUUUCCGUGUCCUCUACUGAAAGUCUUAGUGCAUUAGCUGUAGGCUUUUUGAGCAGAAGCAUCUGAUCCUUCAGUCGCUUUCCUUUAUCCUGCUUUACUCCAAGAUCAGUGGAGCAAUCUUUCCUCUUUUCUCUCCUCUGCAGGAGCUUUCGGUCAUCAGCUGACAUUUGUCUUUCCUCUUCAUACUCGUUUUCUGGAAAGUCAUUAAUAUAUUGUCUUUCAUUAAGCUUCUCAAGGUGAACAAUUGAGGUCCUGUUCACUACUGCCACAGGGGUUUCAUCAUCCGGAUCUGUGGAAGCAUUAGGUGGACCAUUAACGACCCAUCCUAACAGUGUUUUCACUGCAUAUGGGCCGUUUCCUUGGAUAAGGCCAUUUCUUGAGGUCCGCCUGGAAGGACUUCAGUUCUCCGUCCUCUAGCACCAAGCUGCCUCAUGAGCCCCUCUGUGCAAAAUGUGUCGGUACUACCAGGGUCCAGGAAUGCAUAGGUCAGUAUACUUUUAUUUCCAUGGCAGAGUUUCACCUUCACUGGCACUAUGGCAAGUAUGCUGUCUUUACCAGCCCCAAUUCC
Molecule: long non-coding RNA, 1181 nt
Organism: Trematomus bernacchii (emerald rockcod)
Lineage: Eukaryota; Metazoa; Chordata; Actinopteri; Perciformes; Nototheniidae
Exons: 3
Source: RefSeq, a predicted model, not a curated record